This 477-nucleotide ribosomal RNA is filed under the name Triticum aestivum (bread wheat). RNAcentral's name for it is "partial small subunit ribosomal RNA". The record is from RNAcentral. Lineage: Eukaryota; Viridiplantae; Streptophyta; Magnoliopsida; Poales; Poaceae.
AUGAGUAUACCUGAUGGCAUCAAUAUCCCCGAUGGUAAGUUCUACCUACGAGAUGCCGGCUAUGCAUGCCAGGGUGUUCUUCCACCCUUCAGGAAAACCAAGUACCAUCUGAAUGAGUUCGCUAGUAGGAACUAUCCUAGGACUCCACAUGUACUGUUUAAUCUUAGACACUCUAGCCUUAGAGUUACGGGUGAGAGGGCAUUUGGAGCUCUGAAGAAUAGGUUUAAGAUCCUGGAUCAGAAGUCAUUCCACAUUUUCUCCACCCAGGUUAAGCUUGUUCUUACUUGUUGUAUUCUACAUAACUAGAUCCUGCAAUGGGGUUAUGAUGAACGGGUGCCGAAGGAGGAAUAGGUGACGCCUGACGAUGUUGUCAACUCUGUCCAUGGUGUGGAGGCAUUUGAGAACGAAGCUUGUAAGAACAAAAGGAUGAAGUGGGCACAAGCAAUGUGGGAUUAUAGUCGGCAGACAAGGAUCUGA